RNAcentral lists this ribosomal RNA (870 nucleotides) under uncultured bacterium. RNAcentral's name for it is "bacterial SSU rRNA". It matches the Rfam family "Bacterial small subunit ribosomal RNA", at positions 8 to 872 of the family's 1533-position model. The record is from RNAcentral.
AGAGUUUGAUCCUGGCUCAGGAUGAACGCUAGCGGCAGGCCUAACACAUGCAAGUCGAACGGUAACAGGAAAGAGCUUGCUUUUUUGCUGACGAGUGGCGCACGGGUGCGUAACGCGUAUAUAAUCUACCUUUUACAGGGGGAUAGCCUUUAGAAAUGAAGAUUAAUACCCCAUAGUAAGUUAUUUUGGCAUCGAAAUAACUUUAAAGUUUCGGCGGUAAAAGAUGAAUAUGCGUUCUAUUAGCUAGAUGGUGUGGUAACGGCACACCAUGGCGACGAUAGAUAGGGGCCCUGAGAGGGGGAUCCCCCACACUGGUACCGAGACACGGACCAGACUCCUACGGGAGGCAGCAGUGAGGAAUAUUGGACAAUGGGCGCAAGCCUGAUCCAGCCAUGCCGCGUGCAGGAAGACUGCCCUAUGGGUUGUAAACUGCUUUUAUACGGGAAGAACCCCAUCUACGUGUAGAUGGCUGACGGUACCGUAAGAAUAAGGAUCGGCUAACUCCGUGCCAGCAGCCGCGGUAAUACGGAGGAUCCAAGCGUUAUCCGGAAUCAUUGGGUUUAAAGGGUCCGUAGGUGGACAAUUAAGUCAGGGGUGAAAGUCUGCAGCUCAACUGUAGAAUUGCCUUUGAUACUGGUUGUCUUGAAUUAUUGUGAAGUGGUUAGAAUAUGUAGUGUAGCGGUGAAAUGCAUAGAUAUUACAUAGAAUACCAAUUGCGAAGGCAGAUCACUAACAAUAUAUUGACACUGAUGGACGAAAGCGUGGGGAGCGAACAGGAUUAGAUACCCUGGUAGUCCACGCCGUAAACGAUGGUCACUAGCUGUUCGGACUUCGGUCUGAGUGGCUAAGCGAAAGUGAUAAGUGACCCAC